AGGAAUCUAAAACGAUGAUUCAUAUAUCUUUUCAAGAUAAUACUGAUCUGAUUUCACAGUAACAUUUCCAACAAGCUACACUUAGUUCACAUGCGUCUCGGUACGAUAUAUUAAUUUGUUACUCAUUAAUACACAAGAUUACUUCAUACACAGAUGUUGCGGACAAAAAAAGAUUCUUCUAGGUUUUAUCAUAAAUGAAAUCAUCAUUUCAGCUUAUCCCUCAGUUAAUCAGACAGAGCUGCAACGCCGCAGGGUAGUUUAAGUAUUCCGGAUCUAACAGAAGCUGUAUUGGUUAUAUGCAAGAAAAAAAUCUGUACGUCAGUAACGGCCAACUAUAUGCCUAUAUAUUUUCCAAUUUUUUCACAUGCUUCUAACAGAAAAUACUCAGUAUUCAAUUAUGCAGACAUGCCACCAAAACACUCGUAGCAAAAAAAAACAAAUGCUUAAUAAAAUCAGAUCUUUAACCUUAAUUUUACUUGAAAGAAACAAGCAGGAUAUACAUCUUCACAUGAAGCAAUCAAACUAAUGCACUGGAGAUCUAGAUUGAACACAUACACAAUAAUCCCAAAUUUAUACAAAUGGAUAAAACAGAAGUGCAAUGUGAAAGAGAACAUAUCAAACUAAACAAAAAAGGAUAUUUUUACGAACACAAACAAUUGUGGUAGAACUUCAGCCGAGCUGAUAUGUAUUUGUCUUGGAUGUGGAAAACAACAAAAUUGAGGAUCAAAUACCAGAUUUUCAAUAAAACCGCAAAUUUCAAACAUUUAUUUUGAAAUGAAAUGACUUAAUAUACCUUGAUAGAUUGUAAGAAACCUUAUUGAGCUGAAAGUUCCGACUUUUUCCCAAAAUGAAGCAGCUUAUAUAAAGGUCGAUCUUCCUUUCUUCUCCUUUUUCUGUUAUCUCAACAACCUGAAAAGUAAAACAGAAAGCAGCAACUCAAAUCAGUAAUAACAAUCUGGAAUAUCUUGGGCCAAAAAAACAACUUGUGACUGAUUGAUAUCUCGCACACAGCUCAAUCACCAUUAUUACAUAAAAUUGAACAAGAUUUCGGAAUGAAAUCGAUAAAAACGUAUUAAAGUAUGUGAAUUUGAAUCUGAAACGAUUAGUAAAUUUUGAUUUGAGCGCAGAAAGCUCGAAUUCGAGGCCUGAAUUGAGGAAUUACCUACACUAUUAGUCGAUGCAAAGAUAGAGCUAGGGCUUUGUGGAGAGGAAACUGAAAAUGUUUCAUAAAUAUGUGAUCAAAGAGUGUGUAAGUGGGCGCAAAGGUUGGAUAUUUAGACGAUAUUACAAAGUAGCGCACCUUAAGGUAGAGGCGUACGUUAAGCCAGGCUUUUGUUCU
Molecule: long non-coding RNA, 1339 nt
Filed under: Panax ginseng (ginseng)
Lineage: Eukaryota; Viridiplantae; Streptophyta; Magnoliopsida; Apiales; Araliaceae
Description: long non-coding RNA (PGIN_LNC009481)
Source: RNAcentral